UACGAAGGGGGCUAGCGUUGUUCGGAUUUACUGGGCGUAAAGCGCACGUAGGCGGAUCGUUAAGUCGGGGGGUGAAAUCCUGGAGCUCAACUCCAGAACUGCCUUCGAUACUGGCGAUCUUGAGUCCGGAAGAGGUGAGUGGAACUCCUAGUGUAGAGGUGGAAUUCGUAGAUAUUAGGAAGAACACCAGUGGCGAAGGCGGCUCACUGGUCCGGUACUGGACGCUGAGGUGCGAAAAGCGUGGGGAGCAAACAGGG
This 257-nucleotide ribosomal RNA is filed under the name uncultured bacterium. RNAcentral's name for it is "partial 16S ribosomal RNA". It matches the Rfam family "Bacterial small subunit ribosomal RNA", at positions 524 to 777 of the family's 1533-position model. The record is from RNAcentral.